This 545-nucleotide ribosomal RNA is filed under the name uncultured marine eukaryote. RNAcentral's name for it is "SSU rRNA". It matches the Rfam family "Eukaryotic small subunit ribosomal RNA", at positions 619 to 1167 of the family's 1831-position model. The record is from RNAcentral.
UUAAAAAGCUCGUAGUUGGAUUUCUGUUACGAUGAGCCGGCCGGCCCUUCGGGGUUGUAGCUAGGUUUCGUGGUAGCAUCUUGGCGCAAUCGCCGCUGGCAUUCGUUUGUUGGCGUGCGGGACCGCCUCGUUUACUUUGAGAAAAUUUGAGUGUUCAAAGCGGGCUAUCGCCUUGAAAAUAUUAGCAUGGAAUAAUGAUAUAGGACUUUUGGUUCUAUUUUGUUGGUGUUCGAGAACCAAAGUAAUGAUUGAUAGGGACAGUUGGGGGCAUCAGUAUUCUGAAGCGAGAGGUGAAAUUCUUGGACCUUCGGAAGACUAACAGCUGCGAAAGCGUUUGCCUAGGAUGUUCUCUUUAAUCAAGAACGAAGGUUGGGGGAUCGAAGACGAUCAGAUACCGUCGUAGUCUCAACUAUAAACUAUGCCAGCUAGGGAUGAGUGGAUGUUUAAUUACGACUCCAUUCGCACCUUAUGAGAAAUCAAAGCAUUUGGGUUCCGGGGGGAGUAUGGUCGCAGGCUGAAACUUAAAGGAAUUGACGGGAGGGCCC